AUUCUCAGAAGAUUGGAAUGACAUUUGUGGGUGAACUAUCCCUAAUGGCUAAUGAGCUUUAAUGAGUGGAUGUUGUCCAGUUCUAAGCCAUUUAAGCCAUAAAUACAAGCCAUGCAAACAUGACAAAUGUAAAAGACUUGUGUAAUGUUACCCCAUUAAUGCCUGAAUAUAGUUGUUUUUAGCUCUCGGAUGUCUUUGUGAAUUCCUGAAAACAGGCCUAUGCAAAGCAAAGAUGCCAUCCCUGUAUGAAAGCAUUUUAGCUCACUGAAAUUCAAGCUUCAAAAUCAGAUCUUUAUUUAACCCAAGUAAUGAUAUGCAAAUGUUCACCAUCCACAUGAGAGAAUAAGAGUGUCAGUUUCCUCCAGCACAGGGGCAGUCCACGAACACUAGGAUAAAGCUGUGUGAUUUACUGCCUGAUUCUGAGAUCAAUCAUGAGUCAAACUCUACUCAUUUUAUUUGCCUUUUUGCCAUAUGUUUCUGGCAUCUCACUGAGCUCGUCUCCUGCACAGACUAAAGCUCCUGGUCAGUCGGUGAGGUUGUCCUGUCAGAUCUCUGGAUAUGCCCUCACAGACUAUGGCACAGCUUGGAUCAGGCAGCCUCCUGGAAAAGCCUUGGAGUGGAUCGGGAUCAUAUGGGGCAGUGGAUCAAUAGACUCUGGGAAUUCCUUCAAGAGUCGCUUCACUAUUUCCAGAGACACGGGCCGAAAUGAGCUGUACUUAGACAUCAGCAGCCUGCAGACUGAAGACACAGCUGUGUAUUACUGUGCAAAGACAGACACAGUGGAUCAGUUCAGUGUGAGAAACUGACAAAAACAGAUCUGCAGCUCAUCAACACAGUUAUGAACACACAAUGAAUGACCUGCUUCAUGUUCAAGAUCACAGGAUAUUGAACAAAGUCCAUUUUAGGGACAAGAACUACACCACCUCCCUAUAAUGCU
Molecule: non-coding RNA, 937 nt
Organism: Onychostoma macrolepis
Lineage: Eukaryota; Metazoa; Chordata; Actinopteri; Cypriniformes; Cyprinidae
Source: the annotation of a RefSeq genome assembly